This 85-nucleotide non-coding RNA is filed under the name Escherichia coli. Its description in RNAcentral is "Aggregatibacter sRNA 22". The stretch from base 1 to 73 matches the Rfam family "Aggregatibacter sRNA 22". Lineage: Bacteria; Pseudomonadati; Pseudomonadota; Gammaproteobacteria; Enterobacterales; Enterobacteriaceae. The record is from RNAcentral.
UUGCAGGACAAAACGCAUUGCGUUUUGAACAGCGCUUGCGCUGGCCCCAAAGGGGUGAGGCCAAAAGGCCGAAUCACGCGGCAAG